RNAcentral lists this transfer RNA (87 nucleotides) under Planctomycetes bacterium RBG_16_59_8. RNAcentral describes it as "tRNA-Ser". It matches the Rfam family "tRNA". From Rfam's summary of the family: Transfer RNA (tRNA) molecules are approximately 80 nucleotides in length. Lineage: Bacteria; Pseudomonadati; Planctomycetota. The record is from RNAcentral.
GGAGAGGUGCCGGAGCGGCUGAUCGGGCACGCUUGGAAAGCGUGUGACCUCGAAAGGGGUCCGUGGGUUCAAAUCCCACCCUCUCCG